GUUUUUAUGUCCUUUAUUCUCAUUAGAGUGGCUGAGCUGGAGGAGCGCAUCGGGGCGACUCUGCACGUGAAGUUCUGCAAAACACAUGAGAUGCUGGAGUUGUUGCAGCAGUUAUCCUGA
This 120-nucleotide long non-coding RNA is filed under the name Numida meleagris (helmeted guineafowl). Its description in RNAcentral is "lncRNA (ENSNMEG00000010924.1)". Lineage: Eukaryota; Metazoa; Chordata; Aves; Galliformes; Numididae. The record is from RNAcentral.